This 305-nucleotide ribosomal RNA is filed under the name uncultured bacterium. RNAcentral's name for it is "bacterial SSU rRNA". It matches the Rfam family "Bacterial small subunit ribosomal RNA", at positions 333 to 656 of the family's 1533-position model. The record is from RNAcentral.
CUGUCCCUACGGGGGGCAGCAGUAGGGAAUAUUGCUCAAUGGGGGAAACCCUGAAGCAGCAACGCCGCGUGAGCGAUGAAGGCCUUCGGGUCGUAAAGCUCUGUCCUCAAGGAAGAUAAUGACGGUACUUGAGGAGGAAGCCCCGGCUAACUACGUGCCAGCAGCCGCGGUAAUACGUAGGGGGCUAGCGUUAUCCGGAAUUACUGGGCGUAAAGGGUGCGUAGGUGGUUUCUUAAGUCAGAGGUGAAAGGCUACGGCUCAACCGUAGUAAGCCUUUGAAACUGGGGAACUUGAGUGCAGGAGAG